GAUUCUCAUGCCUAAGGCUCCAAAGUCCCAGGUUCAAUCUCCCACACCACAAAAAGCCAGAGUUGAGCAGUGCUCUGGUAAAAUAGAUAAAUAAAUACAAACCACAAUAAUGAUAAAACAACAAGGGCAACAAAAGGGGAAAAAAAUAGCCUCCAGCAGCAGUGGAUUCGUGGUGCAGGCACAGAGCCCCAGCACCCCAGCAAUAACCCUGGAGGCAAAAAAAAAAAAAAAGUAAAAGAAAGAAAGACAAAAAAAAAAAAAUCCUGCAUUUUCUUAUUGAGAUAAAAUUCAAAAAAAAAGAAAGAAACUAAGCAAAAGGAAGCAGAUGUCCACAAGUUACAUAUGAAUUUACUCACAAAAAUUACCCCAUUGUUCUAUAACAAUAAGUCCUAUAACAAUAAGUAAUUAUAACCACCCAUAGGCAUGUACUGUCCUCAAAAGACAUUCCACAAACAAAUUCUUAAAGGAGCAGAGUAAAACUAGUCAAGUUUCUAGAUCAUCUAGUUACAUCAAAACAAUUUCAUUCUCUCUCACUCGCCUCAUACUUCAGUCCCAGAAAGAAGUCUGAGCUAUAGCUCAUCAGAAUCAGCUGGAGGGCUUCUAAAAGCACAGUUUUCUGGACGGCAUUCCAGAGAUCUGAUUCAGACAAAGAAAAACUGAAGAGGAGAGGGAGACAUACAGAAGAGAGACAGAAAGACACCUGCAGAUCUGCUUCAAUGCUCAGGAAGCACUCCCCCCUGCAGACACCAAGUUGCAAAUGCUACCACUACACCAACCUGACUCCCCCAGGCAGAUGACCUCACCAAUGUACCCUGGGACCGCAUCUCUCCAGAACCCAGCCCCACUAGGGAAAGACAGAAACAGUCUAGGAGUGUGGACUGACCUGCCAACACCCAUGUCCACUGGAGAAGCCAGACCUUCCACCUUCUACACCCCAUAAUGAUCCUGGGUCCAACUCCCAGAGGGAUAAAGAAAGGAAAGCUUCCAGUGGAGGGGAUGGGAUAUGGAACUCUGGUGGUGGGAAACGUGUGGAAUUUUACCCCUCCUAUCCUAUGGUUUGGUUUAUAUUUUUUAUUUUAUAAACAAAUUUUUAAAAUACCACUUGAAGGGCUGGGCAGUGGCGUACCCAGUUGAGCACACACAUCACCAUGUACAAGGACUGGGAUUCAAGCCCGUGGUCCCCACCUGAAUAAGGGAAAUUUCAUUAGCAGCAAAGUAGGUCUGCAGGCAUCUUUUUCUC
Long non-coding RNA from Erinaceus europaeus (western European hedgehog), 1240 nucleotides. RefSeq lists it as uncharacterized. NCBI's taxonomy places the organism in Eukaryota, Metazoa, Chordata, Mammalia, Eulipotyphla, Erinaceidae. The record is from RefSeq and is a predicted model, not a curated record. The transcript is spliced from 3 exons.